UCCGGUUUGUCACCGGCAGUCACCUUAGAGUGCCCAACUAAAUGCUGGCAACUAAGAUCAAGGGUUGCGCUCGUUGCGGGACUUAACCCAACAUCUCACGACACGAGCUGACGACAACCAUGCACCACCUGUACACCAGCCACAAGGGAACGCCUAUCUCUAGACGCGUCUAGUGCAUGUCAAACCCAGGUAAGGUUCUUCGCGUUGCAUCGAAUUAAUCCGCAUGCUCCGCCGCUUGUGCGGGCCCCCGUCAAUUCCUUUGAGUUUUAGCCUUGCGGCCGUACUCCCCAGGCGGGGCGCUUAAUGCGUUAGCUGCGGCACAGAGAACCGGAGAGGCCCCCCACACCUAGCGCCCAACGUUUACAGCGUGGACUAC
RNAcentral lists this unclassified non-coding RNA (376 nucleotides) under uncultured Actinomycetes bacterium. RNAcentral's name for it is "uncultured actinobacterium contains 16S-23S intergenic spacer region". Lineage: Bacteria; Bacillati; Actinomycetota; Actinomycetes. The record is from RNAcentral.